AGCUCACUGCAACCUCCGCCUCCCAGGUUCAAGUGAUUCUCCUGCCUCAGACUCCUGAGUAGCUGGGAUUACAGGCAUGUGCCACCACGCCCGGCUCAUUUUUGUAUUUUUAGUAGAGACAGGGUUUCACCAUGUUGGUCAGGCUGCUCUUGAACUCCUGGCCUCGUGAUCCACCCACCUUGGCCUCCUAAAGUGCUGGGAUUACAGGCGUGAGCAACUGCGCCUGGCCUACUACUCUGUUUUACAGAUGAACUUGAGGUUCAGAGAGGUCAAGUCAUUUGCCUGAGGACACACAGCCCAACUCUUCCUUUUAACACUGACCAGGCAAUGGAGUGGGAGUGAUGAGAAUGAAGUGGUGGCUCUUCUGGGACCAGAGGACAGUUCCAAAGUCUUCUUUGGGCCAUAGGGGGCUUUGGGACUCUUCUGGGGCCAGAGAACAGUUCCAAAGUCCCAGGCAAGGGGAGUUCCAUCUUCCAGUCCCGCCUCCUGGUUGUCAACUGCGCUGAUAGGGGCCCGAGUAGGAGUUCUGAGGCUCCAGCCUCUCAGGCCCCACUUGCCCCACCCAUUCUGCUUGCAGACCUCCCAGCUAACUGGAACCUGUGUCCACAGAAUGCUGUCCAGUUUCAACGAGUGGUUUUGGCAGGACAGGUUCUGGUUACCACCCAAUGUCACGUGGACAGAGCUAGAAGACCGGGAUGGCCGUGUCUACCCCCACCCCCAGGACUUGCUGGCAGCCCUGCCCCUGGCGCUGGUCCUCCUGGCCAUGCGCCUUGCCUUUGAGAGAUUCAUUGGCCUGCCCCUGAGCCGGUGGCUGGGUGUGAGGGAUCAGACCAGGAGGCAAGUGAAGCCCAACGCCACGCUGGAGAAACACUUCCUCACGGAAGGGCACAGGCCCAAGGAGCCCCAGCUGUCUCUCCUGGCCGCCCAGUGUGGCCUCACGCUGUGGCAGACCCAGCGAUGGUUCCGGAGACGCCGGAACCAGGAUCGACCCCAGCUGACCAAGAAGUUCUGUGAGGCCAGCUGGAGGUUUCUCUUCUACCUGUCCUCCUUCGUGGGCGGCCUCUCGGUCCUGUACCACGUAAGUAUACCGGAGUAUAGCUGACUGCUCACCUGCCCCAUCCACCUGGCCUAGAUCUGGCAGGAGGGGGGUGGUGUGGACUGGUGCAGCCAGAGAGGAAAACAUGCAGCUGAGGAGAGAGCGAGCUUGGCAAGAUGGUGGUGAAUGUUCACUCAACAGGUAUUUGGAUUUACUAUGCACCAAAAGUUGGGGUUCUGCAGUGAAUGAGCCCCCCAGUCGAGAGUGAGAAGCAGGAAAAAGCAGGGCUGGGUGAAGGUAGCAUCUAUGAGACUGUGGAAAGAGAACCAAAGAGACCACAGACCGAGGGUGUGAGGUUGGAUUCUCACCUCCGCACAGCCUGACACCCGUUUCCCUGCAGGAGUCAUGGCUGUGGGCACCAGUAAUGUGCUGGGACAGGUACCCAAACCAGACUCUGAAGCCAUCCCUGUACUGGUGGUACCUCUUGGAGCUGGGUUUCUACCUCUCACUGCUAAUCAGGCUGCCCUUUGAUGUCAAGCGCAAGGAUUUCAAGGAGCAGGUGAUACACCACCUCGUGGCGGUCAUCCUGAUGACCUUUUCCUACAGCGCCAACCUGCUGCGCAUUGGCUCUCUGGUGCUGCUGUUACACGAUUCCUCCGACUACCUGCUGGAGGCCUGUAAGAUGGUCAACUACAUGCAGUAUCAGCAAGUGUGCGACGCUCUCUUCCUCAUCUUCUCCUUUGUCUUCUUCUACACCCGACUGGUCCUCUUUCCCACCCAGAUCCUCUACACCACAUACUACGAGUCCAUCACCAACAGGGGCCCCUUCUUCGGCUACUACUUCUUCAACGGGCUUCUGAUGUUGCUGCAGCUGCUGCACGUGUUCUGGUCUUGCCUCAUUCUGCGCAUGCUCUAUAGCUUCAUGAAGAAGGGCCAGAUGGAGAAGGACAUUCGUAGUGAUGUAGAAGAAUCAGACUCCAGUGAGGAGGCGGCGGCGGCCCAGGAACCUCUGCAGCUAAAGAACGGGGCAGCUGGAGGGCCCAGGCCAGCCCCCACUGAUGGCCCUCGGAGCCGGGGGGCCGGGCGUCUGACCAACAGGCACCCAACAGCCACAUAGCCGGGCGGGGCUGGCUGUAAGGGGUUGCCCCCCCGCCAGCGCCUUGGAUAUUUCUGGGGUGACUGGACUGGCGCCCCUGGGCCACCUUUCUGGAGACAGGGAGGGCCCCACCCGGGGUGGGCUGAUGAUCUGUCUCCAGCCCCUUCCUUCUGCCCACCCGCCCUUCUUCCCUCUGGGCAACUGGACAGAGCUGGGAGCCAGCAGCUGGAUGCUGUGGCUGGCCAGAGACACCUCCAGGCUGUAGCCUGGGGGCUGGGGGGAGCCCCAGGCUGAAAAGGGUCCAAUUAAAACAAAUGGAGCC
RNAcentral lists this small RNA (2454 nucleotides) under Pan troglodytes (chimpanzee). RNAcentral's name for it is "retained intron". Lineage: Eukaryota; Metazoa; Chordata; Mammalia; Primates; Hominidae. The record is from RNAcentral.